CCUCAUCUGUAGUGCUGGAUGUGCAUCUUUACACUGCAUAAGACUGAGGACACCUUCAGUGAGGUAACACAGGGAAACGAAGAAAUGCAGCAUAAAGGAGCCACAGGUUUCUCUACCAUACAUCCAAGUAAAUCCCAGCUUGCUCUUGCUUCAGUUCCCAGAGAAAAGGCUCUCGACGAGCCCUAAGUAAACAACAGCUUCGGUUCAAAAUCCAGCAGUGAGGAUUGGCGGCAGCUCCCAAGCGCUGGAAUUUCAAAACGCUCGGCUGGCUCCGGCGGAACCAAAUGAAAGAAAAUCCAAGCCUGCGACUCAGCCCCA
Calypte anna (Anna's hummingbird) is the source of this 318-nucleotide long non-coding RNA. RefSeq lists it as uncharacterized. The transcript is spliced from 3 exons. NCBI's taxonomy places the organism in Eukaryota, Metazoa, Chordata, Aves, Apodiformes, Trochilidae. The record is from RefSeq and is a predicted model, not a curated record.